This 425-nucleotide ribosomal RNA is filed under the name uncultured bacterium. Its description in RNAcentral is "bacterial SSU rRNA". It matches the Rfam family "Bacterial small subunit ribosomal RNA", at positions 354 to 796 of the family's 1533-position model. The record is from RNAcentral.
GUGGGGAAUCUUAGACAAUGGGGGAAACCCUGAUCUAGCCAUGCCGCGUGAGCGAUGAAGGCCUUAGGGUUGUAAAGCUCUUUCAGCUGGGAAGAUAAUGACGGUACCAGCAGAAGAAGCCCCGGCUAACUCCGUGCCAGCAGCCGCGGUAAUACGGAGGGGGCUAGCGUUGUUCGGAAUUACUGGGCGUAAAGCGCACGUAGGCGGAUCAGAAAGUCAGAGGUGAAAUCCCAGGGCUCAACCUUGGAACUGCCUUUGAAACUCCUGGUCUUGAGGUCGAGAGAGGUGAGUGGAAUUCCGAGUGUAGAGGUGAAAUUCGUAGAUAUUCGGAGGAACACCAGUGGCGAAGGCGGCUCACUGGCUCGAUACUGACGCUGAGGUGCGAAAGCGUGGGGAGCAAACAGGAUUAGAUACCCUUGUAGUCC